Molecule: long non-coding RNA, 26670 nt
Organism: Homo sapiens (human)
Lineage: Eukaryota; Metazoa; Chordata; Mammalia; Primates; Hominidae
Exons: 2
Source: RefSeq, a predicted model, not a curated record
UGUAUUUUUUAAAAAUAUUUUCAAUCUGCGGUUGGUUGAGACCGUGGAUGUGGAAUCCAUGGAUAUGGAGGGCUGACUGUUCACUGGCUUUUGGAUAAAAAUCCCAGCUCUUCCACUGACAAGCUGUGCGAUGCUGGGCAAGUCACUUAAGCAGCCAGAGCCUCACAUUUCCCAUCUACAAAAUGGGAAUACUAACACUUACCUUUAAGGGGUGGAAAUUAGGACUGAUGCAUUAUAAGCACCUGGCACCCAUGGAUGCUGCUGCAGCCGUUGCUAAUAUUAUUAAUAUUGACAGUGCCUUACCUUUCAUAAUGUAUAAGCCAUAUCUGACUGUGCAUCAGAAAUAGCUGGGAAGCAUUUAAGAAAAAUUACUGGGCCCCAUCCAAGAACUCCGGAAUCAGACUUUCUUGGAGUAGAACCAAAGCAUGCUGGCACCUCACUUGCUCCUCCAGGUGCGCCCCACACCCUUAUCCACCUGCUCUGGGCCCCAGGAGGCUGACUCCCCAUUGGGACAAAAGUGCACAUUGGGAUAGACUGUGGCUCCCCAUUGGGUCUCAGUUGAUUCGACUGAGAGUCAGGAUGGAUCAGCAAAGGGAUGUUCCUUCAAGCCCCUUUCCCACAGCUUUUCCAUGCAGCUUCCUCUCUUCAGCGCCUGCAGUCCUUGGGGUUGUUUUAAACAAUACCCAGGAUUUUUAUUUAAGACAGGGUCUCACGCUGUUGCCCUGGCAUGAUCAUAGCUCACUGCAGCCUCGACCUCCCCAGGUCAAGCCAUCCUCCCUCCUUGAGCUCCCACAGCACCGGGAUUAGAGGUGUGAGCCACCAGGCCCGGCCUGCACCCAGGAUUUUAAUCAGCCAUGGAUUAAGAUGACAACCAUGGAGACAACUGCUUGAAAGAAGAGUUUCUUACUGACGAUUCGACAGCACAACAGGACCAUAUGGGGAAGCACCGGAGUCAGUCAGGGGGUGGAAGGAGCUGGGGCAUGGACUGUGGGAAGGGAGGGGCGAGGCAAGCUGAGCAGGGUUCGGAUUGGCCAGUUCAAAUAAUUCCAGUGGGCUCUGGGCUACAGGGCUGGUCUCUAGCUGUCACAUACCUGGCCCAUGGGUGAUGAGGGCAGGGGUGUGAGAGUUACAUAAAGCGGGUGGUUGGGGCACAGCUUUGGCUUGGUUGGUUUGAUAGGGAGAGGCAGGUCCAAAGGCAAGGUGCUUGCUAUCUCUAGGAGUUAGCUAGCCCCAGGAAGGGAGUCUCUCCCUGGCCAGCAAGGCCCAGAGAUGUUUCACAGCAUCAGAAAAUAUAAAAAGCAGGCCAAGGCACAGUGGCUCACACCCGUAAUCCGAGCACUUUGGGAGGCCGAGGCGGGUAGAUCACCUGAGGUCAGGAGUUCAAGACCAACCUGGCCAACAUGGCGAAACCCCAUCUCUACUAAAAAUACAAAAAUUAGCCAGGUGUGGUGGGUGCCUGUAAUCCCAGCUACUCAGGAGGCUGAGGCAGGAGAAUCACUUGAACCCAGGAGGCUGAGCUUUCAGUGAGCUGAGAUCGCACCACUGCACUCCAGCCUGGGUGACAAGAGCGAGACUCUGUCUCAAAAAAAAAGAAAGAAAACAUAAAACGCAUGAUUACUCAGGGGUGAUAAAUGCACCCACUGUUCCAACCUCUGGGAACUGCACUGUCCCUUGUGCACAGCUUCCUGAGUAACUCUCUCUUAACUGCUCUGCAAAUUAGCCAUUGGGGUGCCCUCUGUUUCCUGCAGGGACCUGACCAAUACACGAGGAAUCCCCAGGUGAUCCCAAGGCAGCCAGGCACUGGAGCAGAUGCUUUUUCAGAACCACUUCGUGCACUGCACAGAGCUGAAAGUUAGCAAAGCUCAGAGGGUCUGGUUGGAUCUUCACAGUAAGUCUAUGGAAGGAAUAUUUAGGAAUGGACAAAAGUGCACACUCUGGGGCUCCUGAGGGUUCCCAGGUGACCGCAGCAGCCUUCACACAGGCUUCUCCAGCGCAGCUCUCAGCAUGAACGGCCGCUCAGUGGGGCCCUGGAGGCGGUGGGCUCCUUGAGACAGGAGGUAUCUGGGUCCAGUGUCUUAUGGGAAGUGCCACUGUAUUCUGUGGGAGCCUUGAUGCUUCCAGGAAUACUGGGGAAAUUUCGGGAUUUCCAGCCCAGCAGGCAGGAUGCUUGUGUCGUAUGAGCGGGUGUUUCCCCCAUGGCCUCGUCUUUGACCCACGUGCUGGCUUCCAUCCCCUCCCUGUCUUGCACCUCUGUGUUCUCUCUCACCCUCUGGCCUGUUAAUGAGCUUAGAUUUAGACCUUCCCAGUCUUCCUGCAGGGGCCCUCUGCUCGACACUGACGGCUUGCCGUGGCUUCUGGCUGGGGUCUGGGUGGGGAGCUGGGAGUCCUCACGUCCUGGGUUUUAGGUGGUUUGUCUAGGCAGUCUUUCCAGUGAGGAACAGUUCUAAUUGGCGGUGGGUUUCCAGGGGUCUGCUCGGCUUAUGGGCACUGUGCUUGCCCAAGGACACUGGCUCCUGGCUAAGGGAAGACAUGGGGCAGGGGGCGUGGAGCCAGGUGGAGUCAAGAGCUCACGGUAGCGGACCAGGAGGGACAGACGCUGGAUGGCCAGCUCAAAGCAAGCUUCGUCCCUGAGAAGUGCCUGGAGGAAGAGCUGCACCAGGUGUUGACCAACCAGGACUUUGCAUUAAUUUAUGUGUUUAGCCCGCCAGCUGCUCUGUUAGGCAGAUGUCUGCAGGCUGAGCCUCUCAGUGUCUGGAUAUGGAGAUGAUGGAGUACUUUGGAAUUAGCAAGAUAAAGUUUUAAAGGGACUGAUUUAGCUGGCUAGAGUGACUGCUUGCACCGGUAGACAAAUGGGGUGGAAAUACUUUUAAAUGAACUGUGAUGAUUGCCAUGAGAAAGACCAGUGAGAGGAGGUGCCUGGGAAGAUAAAAAUCAAACCCAGUUAGCAUGACGAAAGCUCCCUUCUGGCCUCUGCACAGGGGAUGAGUGGUUGGAGACGGUUCCGUGGCCCGACCCUGCGAGACCAUUAGGACUUUCAGGGGGAAUGGCCACCUCCUCCCCACGACCGAUUCUGGUUAUCACCAGCGGCAGGCAGCUUCCCUCGGCGAGGGUCCUCUUGAUGGCUCUGCAGACAGGACGGGGGCUCUCUGAAGAGGGGAGGUACUGGCGGAAGUCCCCUGGGCUCCAUCAGAAAUGUGGUUGGACAUGAAGGCAGGUCCCAGCUGCCAGCUGCCCGGGGGAGCCCAGCUCCCCCGAGAGUGCUCAGCUGUGGUCUUUCCCCGGGGCCCCAGCUACAGACUGCCCAUCGGCCCCUCACCAUCGAACAUCUACUCUUGGAACUGAUGCACCUGCAGAAUUGGAGUUUCAGCCUUCAGCAUGUGUGUGUGAUGGAGCUUCGUAGAAUGUGGUGGGGCUUAGAACAACAGUAUCUCAGAGGAAGGAUGUGCAUCUCCCAGGCCAGGCUGGGACCAGGGAGGGAUGGACGGGAGAGGAGCCGCAGGAGCCUGCUCACUGCGCAGUGUCCCAGGGGUAACAAGCUCCUGCCUAAUCAUGUUCAAAGUUAGGAAUUCGUCCCCUCCUAGGUAUACCCCCAAAGGAAGAACACGGAGACCCAGACAGGUAUUUGUACACCUAGGUUCAGGGCAGCAUUGUUCACAGUAGCCAAAAGGUAGGAGCAACCCACGUGUUUAUCAGAAUGGAUAGACACAAUGUGGCCUGUCCACACAACAGGAUGCGGUUCAGCUUUCAGACGGAAGGAGAUUCUGACACGUGCUGCAACAUGGACGGACCUUGAGGACAUGGUGCUGAGUGAAAUAAGCCACACACAGAAGGACAAACACGAUAUGAUUCCACUUAUGUGAGGCACCCAGUCAUCAAAUUCAUAGAGACGGAAACCAGGAUGGUGGGUGCCACAGGCUGGGGGGAGUGGGGAGUUGGUGUUUAAUGGGUGCAGAGUUUCAGCAGGGGAAGAUGAAAACGUCCUGGAGGUGGAGGGUGCUGAUGGCUGCACAGCAGUGUGAAUGCACCUGAUGCACUGAGCUGUACCCGUAAAAAUGGUGAAGAUGGGAAAUUGUAUGUUAUGCAUAUUUUACCACAAUACUUUUUUUAAUUUGAAAAGUUGGGAAUUUAUAAAUUAAAUGUGGGGUCCUGUGCCCCAGAACACAGUUGAGGAGAGCUGCAGGCUCCGUGACCUCGGACCCGGCCCUUCCCUCCAGGCUGCCUGGGGGGACUCGAGGGGAGGGGAAGCUGCUCUGCGUGUGGCCUGCAGCCUGAGGUCAGCUCAGAGGGACGGGGCCGGGUGAGGCCUGGGUGUGAGCAGAUGAGGGAGGCAGGGUGAGGAUGAAACGAAAUAAUCAUCUCGUGCCCUGCAGGCAGUGUCUAGCCCACAGGAGACGGAGCCGUGGUUGUUGAUAUUCUUGCAUUCACCAUCAUCACACUGACCCCUAGCCCAGUCCAUCGCCCUUUGACCCACGUGCUGGCUUCCAUCCCCUCCCUGUCUUGCACCUCCGUGUUCUCUCUCACCCUCUGGCCUAUUAAUGAGCUUGGAUUUAGACCUUCCCGAUCUUCCUGCAGGGGCCCUCUGCUCGACACUGGCGGCUUGCCGUGGCUUCUGGCUGGAGUCUGGGUGGGGUCUGGGUGGGGUCUGGGUGGGUGUGUUCAUCCUCCGUGAACACACAAGCACACCCCAAAGCCGGCGCUCUCUUUCUGGCACUCAGAUUUCUCACCAUCUUUUCCAGCUAUGGAAACCACUCCCAACAUAAGGAACACACCGCCCCAGAGGCUGUUAGGUGAUGCGUGGGUGGGAUAUUAAAUACGCCUGUCCGCUCCAGAGAGCAUCGCCGCCUUCCAGUUCCUUCUCAGUGGUGUCAGGAGAAAGGCUCCUGUUGGGGCCCGUGUGUCGCUAACGCCUCUGCAGCGCCUGCAGUUUCCCUUUGUCACUAGCAUGGAAGGCAGGCCUCGGACUCCAGCCUGCUGCAGUAUCCGCUUAUAAUUUCAUAACUUCCCUUCUUUGUAUUUAUUUUUAGAGUUUCUUUCUAUUUUUGGCAAGUGGAACUGGUUUUUUGUUUACCAUAGUGUAUAAUGUUUACUUUAAAAAUAACUUUUAAAAAUGAGUCAAUUAAAAAGAAUUAAAUCAGUACUAGGAGAAGAGGUCUGUGGCUCUGGCAGAAAUCACGAAGCGGGUGUGCCGUGGGGUGGGGAUUUGGCAACACACAGCUGCAAGCUUGAGAGACCUAGAGAAUUUCCACACAUCCUUCAAACCCUCGCACAAUGGGGACCUCCUCUCUGUGGUUCCCUCCGACUACCGCCCCCUAAACAAGACAACACACAUAGCUAUUAGAGCACAGAUUGCACUCUACACAAACUGCCUCCGUGUAGUCCGGCUAAAGAACACACUUCCUAAGGCAGGGAGUGGGGUAGGGUCACCCUGCAUCACCAGCCCCCAGCUUAGCGUGGCCCAGAGCAGAGUCAGGGAGCGUUUGUCACUUAGAGGCUGCUGGCCAAGGGGGUGGAAGGGUCUCCACCAGGGGCAGGGAAGGGCAAGACCCACACAUUUCUACAAGGAGAGGUCAGCGUCCCAGACCUUCCCAAAGGCCUCAGUGGUUCAGGCAGCAGAAGUUCCUGUUCCUGUCCCUAAAGAUGUCAGGUCAGAAAAAGAAUACUGAGCUAGCUCCCUGUGCAAGUGAGGGGACAUAAAAGAAGGACCCCAGCUCAGGGUUCAGUCCACAUGUCUCAACUCACCUUCUCACGAGUUUCUCCAACUUAACCUCGUCGUAACAGCAGUUGUAUGUGCUGCCACGGCAUUUUACGUAUAUAUAUACAUAUAAUGUCACUUAUUCUCCAAAAUAAAUCAACAACACAGGGACUAUUAUCCCCAUUUUACAGCUGGGGAAACUGAGGCUGUGGCUUCCCCUGCAGUCACACAGCUAGGCUAGGGACACAAAUCGACAUCUCCUAACUCCAGUAUCCAUUCUGCUGCCUUCCUCGGACUUCCGUGUGCCCAGCUGACCCCCAGACGUGGCUGUCCUUCCACCUGGCCAGCCUGGCACGGCCAGAGCUGCUCCAACAGUCCUUCCCAGCUGGGCUGGAAAUGUAAUGGAUCCCAUACAGACACCCAUUUGGCUCCAGAUGAAUGGUAACCAUGGCUCAGGUGUUUUCCAGCAUGGCCAAGGGGCUGCAGGCUGCAGGGCCAUCCCCCGCAGCAGCAGGGACACAGGAAACAGCAAUACGUGGGUCCCUGGACUGGUGAGACCCAGAACCUGGGGCCUCUGACAUCAGGGCUCAAGGUGAGGGUGCUGCCUCACAUCCUGUUCCUCUGGCCCCUGGAAAGUAGUAAGGCCAGGGAUGCGCAGACCUGUCUCAGUUUCCCGUAGCUGAGUUUGAGAGCUGGGACCUUCCAGCUUAGGAAGCCUUAGAAUCAACACAGGACGAAAGGUCCAGGCUUGCUUUUGUGACGGCUUUAAGAAAAAAGAACUUGACUUUUUCAAAACAAGCUACUAUGUCAACAGCAAUGGUGACAACUACCAUUGCUACUACCAGUGGCUAGCAAGCGCUGCUCUGUGCUCUGCAGAUGCAUCAAAUCCUCACCACCCCCACAGGUCCUGUCAAUGCCCCCAUUUUAAAGAUGUGGAAGUGGAGGCCGAGAGGAGGGAGGAGGCUGGAGAGGCAUUUAGAAGGCCUCCAACACCGGCGAAGAUGGGAGUGAGUUUGCGUUGCAAUGCCUCUGAGGCCCACGGCUUGGAGGCCGAUGUGUGUCUCCCAAGAUGAGAUUCAUGGGGGUCGUUCACCAGGAUGGGAUUCAGGAAAGAGGUGGCGCAGAGGGGAGACUGAGGGACCAGGGUGAUGUGGACACGAUGGCCUUGAGGUGCACUCACCCCGAGGCUCUACUGUGUUUUGUGUCCUGAAGUGUGCGCUGAGUUAGACUCGCCAUCCGGAGCAGGCAGGAAGCCAGGCAAGCGGCGAGUCCACACCACCGCUGGUUGGUACUGACCACCCCACAUCUCCCUGCCCCUGCACGCCAGUCCCUCAGAGGACUCACUGCUGUUGAAUCCCCAGGACAGUCUACUUCUUUACCGUGUGUAGCACGAUCACUCUGCCUCCCCAUCUCGUGAGGACGUGACCGCCACCCCGCGGGGACUUUGCUCUUCUGUUCACUGCUGCGUUCCCGACACCAAAGGGCUCAGAGCCUGCUAGAAUAUUCUAGAGAGGGGCAGAAAGCACGCUGAGGCCAGAGUGGGCCUCUUCCUAUUUCAGGCUCUGAAAGUGGCCCAGUCUUGCCCUGGGUGCUGUGGGCCUGUCCACCAGGAGGGCCUCCUCGAGGCUGCACAGCAGGCUUGCUCGGAGGCCCAUGUCAGAGGGGUUAUCUGCCUCUGUGUGAAGAAUGCUUUUAAACCCAUGCCUGGGUUCCUGACCUUCUGAGAGAGAAAACAGAUGCACCAUUUAACCCUCCUUGCUCCAGAGGAGCCCAGCAUCUCCAGUUUUAGGGAGUCCGGUCACGCUAAAGAAUGUCAGGCUUUUGCACCCUAGGGGUUAACGACAGCCUGGUGUUCUAAGUCCCAGAGCUCGCUGCAGGAUCUCCGAACCCCCAGCCUCUGAAGCUUUCACCUGUCAGCGUUCUGAUUAACAACUGGAAGGCCGACCCCUGUUUUCUGAUGGGUUCCGUGUACACGCUGUGCAAGGCUGUGAAGGUGGAAAUGCUAUUUUCUUUUGCCACUGGGAGGUCAGGAGCACUUAAUAAGACCCCUGGCCCCACCUGGCUGGGCUUUGGAUAUGAUUUUUAAAUCAAGUGAACUAUUUUUAGGGCCCUACUCAAAGCUACCUCUUCAUCCAUGUUAAUGAUCAUGCAUCAAAACCGUGUUGUCAUUUACAAGGCGUUGUUCCAUAGGCAGCAGUGGCAUUCUGGAAGGAGACUGAGCUUAGAGCUGAAGACUUCCGUUCAAGCACAGAGCCACUGUGUGACCUUGGGCAACUGAGUUAACCUCUCUAAGCGCUGCUUCCUCAUCUACAGAACUCUGCCACAUGGAAUUGUUAUAAGGCUGAGGCCUCACGGGAUCUGAGAGCUACACCCAACAUCUGGGGCAGUUUUGUUUGGCUUGCAGUGUCUUAAAGCAUUUGAAUCAUUAACCAUUUAAAAAUUUAGGUGCCCUUUAAAAAUCCAGCUUUUUCUAUUGUUUAAUGGUGAAGUGGGGAAGCUCUAGCAGCACGGAGCCGGCUUUCCUGCACUUCCACGUCAGGGCUGAGUGACGGCCGCAGCCUUCACAGGUAACCUGGGGCUGGACCUUACGAAUAGCAACGUGCUUGUAAUCAUGUGUGUUACACCAGGAAGAAGCUAUUUAUUGUGUCUAAGUGGGGUACGUGCACAUUGAAACCACUCAAGUGACCAUCAGCGGCUGAAUGGAUAAAGAAAAUGUGGUAUAUGCAUAUGAUGGAAUAGUAUUGAGCCCCUAAAAGGAAGAAAAUUCUGAUGCAUGCUCCAACAGGGAUGAACCUGGAGGAUAUCAUGCUAAGUGAAAUAAGCCAGACACAAAAGGAUACAUACUGCACGAUUUUACGCAUAGGAGGUCCCUAGAGUAGUGAAAUUCAUAGAGAAAGUAGAGUGGUGGGUGUGGGCUGUGGGAGUGCCGAAUCGGGAGUUAGUGUUUAAUGGGUAUAGCAUUUCAGUUUGGGAAGAUGAAAGAGCUCUGGCAGUCGACGUGGUGAUGGCCACAAGGUAUCGCGGAUGCACUUAAUGCCGCUGAGCUGUACGCUUAAACGUAGUUAAGAUGGUACAUUUUGUGUUAUGUGUAUGUUACGGCAGUAAAAGGGGGUAGGUGAACAGCUCCUGCCAACUGGUGUUGGGGAGGCGGCAGAUUUCUCCCCAUGAGCCUGUGGUUGUGCUCACGCCCGGCCGGGAGGCCCACAACAAGAGGUUCGUUCUGCAGCCUGAGGUCUCUGCACGCCCAGGCUGGUUUCUGAAGAGCAGCAGGCCUCCUGGUAUUUACGCUGCAUGGACCAGGCAGGCCAAAGGGCUCAUACCUGCACAGUGUCCGCAGCCACAAAGGGAGGACCAGAUGUUUGAGCUCUUCCUUGUUUAUAAACAAAACGUCCGUUCCCAUCCAGACCCCCUGUGUUUACACCGCGGCAGGGCUGGGGGCCACCGUGCACAUUUGGAAAGCAUCCUUGGGGAAGCCUGUGUCCCGCUCGCCUCUCAGCUGUGUGACGGAGUGAGUUCAUCAACUUCUUCUCCCCUGGCAUCCUCAUCGGCAAAGCAGAGACACUAACAAUACCUGCCUCAUAGGUUGGGGUCCCAGUGGCGGUUUCCAAAGUGCGGGGGACAAGGUGUGGCAUGCAGGGAGUGCUCCUAUUAUCGUGAUUAUUGUGGUUUUUCCUGCAUCUUUUCCUGCCCUUUCCUCCCAUCCUACUCCCACACCUUUCCAGACCCGGUAACAGUUUCACUCCACCUCACGGCCUCAGCCCAGGAAGAGAAUACCAAAUCCACAUACAUCUUGACCUUUCUCAGAAAAGAAACUUAUUUCCACACAUCUGAUGAAAAGCAGUUUUCUGAAACACUUAAAAUUCAAAAAUGCUUAUUUAUUUUCUGGAAAGAAUAGAAAGAAAUCCUUAAUUUACUUGCAUCUUACCUAGCCUGAAGUAAAAACGGUGCUUGUAGCUUAAGGGUAUGCAGCUCUCAAGAUAACUGGAAUCUUUGGAGCAAAAAAGCCCAUCCGUGCUGCUGAAGUUCAGAUGCACUUAAAAAAAUAGUUCCCUUUGUGUCGCUGCGCGGUGAGGCGUGAAAUUGCACCUAACCAUCUGCUGACGUGGCCUUUGCACAUUCCAGCCCUUGCAACCUUUGGGUAAGGUACAUGGUGCCAGCCUUCAGCUGGUUCUGCUUUGCUAAUUAUUCCAAAUAAAGAGCAAACGCCGCCUUCCUGUUUCUCUCCUCCUCGUUCCGCAGUCAUCUGCUGUCCGUAAAUUUUCACCAAGUUUCACACCAGUUUCCAUUUUGGCUCCAGCUCUGAAGACGGAACCAUGGGGACAUUUGUUAAUGAAAAAUCUGGGAAAUUUGAUGUGGGAAACGUUCUUUUGCUACAGGCAUCUAAUUGUUGAGAGGAUCUGACUCGUAAUUUGUAGUUAAAUUUGUUAAAUCCCGGAAGGUUUUGAUUUUUUUGUUUUUGUUGUUUCAGUAAUGCAGAGUCAAAAUUAAGUUAAAAAAUUGUUCUACCUUUGUAUUUGGCCUGGUCGUGCAUUUUCAUCAGCUGUUAUGGAUGGAGGAUACUGAAUAGCACAACAAUAGUAAUUUGGGGAUUACUCAAUGGGGGUGAUUUAUAGAAACUCGAAGCUCUUAACAUAAUGUUUUGUUAAAAAUGCUUCCUCUUGUUGUGCCUGAUUUAAUACAGAUUCUUCUCUUUUGUUCUUUAUUCCUUUAAAUGACUGAAGUAAGUUAAAUGCAUACAGGUUUAUCUUAGCCUCAAAUGCAAAGAUAAAAGGAAUCAAUAUGAAAAGCACCCUAUAAGUUACAUCAGUGACAGAAGAAUGUUGAAUUUUCAUUACUGACCAGAGUAAAUGCCUCAGCUGCUUUUGUUUAAAAGCUGUGUUGGGGAUUGGGCCUGAUUGCUGGGUGGGGGGGAACCUCUUGGAGACUCCAUGUCAUCUGUGAAAUGACAGUAAUAAAACCAGAGUUAAAUUAUGUGGAAAUGUUUACCAUGCAUGGCACAGAGGAAAUGUUGAGUAGAUGGCUACUUAUAUCACAAGCCCCUCCUCCCAUCCUUCCAAAAUGCUUAAUAAGCUCCUACUAUGAGCCAGCAGCUGUGCUGGGUGCCAAGAACACAGUGCUGUGCAAACUCACCAACUCAAAACCAAUUUGCAGUGCACCGUCUGAUUGCCUGGGCAGGAACUUUCGCGGCAGCUCCUUGAAGUACCACAACUCAUCCGCCUCUUCCCUGACAUUUCCUUCUGUUCUUGAACUUGUGUAGAAUUCAUUGUCUGUGUUCUCCAAUUUGCACCCCUAUAUUUUCCUCCAACAUGCCAUUGCUGUCUUGAACCCCUGUUAUUUCGAAUAGGAUAAAAAACCCUACCAGUGUCCUCAAUAUGUACGGAGAACAUGUUGUGUGCUUGCCAAGACUUCAUUUUAUCCUCUCACAAACUCCCUGUUAGGUGAAUAUGGUUCUCUACCUUGUAUUACAGGUGAGGAGACUGAGGCAAAUUGCCCAAGGCCGUGAGCCAGCAGGAGCUUCUGUUUGUAAGGACUGUUGCAUGCUGGCUACUCCGGUCUCUCCAAGUAGACAAAUCAUUUAAAAUACCCUCAAAGCAUUCCCACAGUUAUCUAAGCUAUUAAAAAAUGGUUUGUACUUUCAGAGGGCAUUGCCUGCUCACCAUGAUGCCGAAUAGGCCCUCCUUGGGUGGACUCUCCCUGUGGCUAACCAGGCCCAGCGACUGCUAGAGCCCAGUUUGAGAAAGCUAGAGGCACUGGGGAUGGCAGGUCCCUUGGCCUGACUCUACUCAGCUCCUCUUCCAGGCCUGUGGGUGAUGGGCCUGUCUUUGCCGCGGCUGCCCCUUGUGGUGGAAACAGCCAUUACAGCUAGGAGAGGUCACCAGGACAUGGCCAGGCUGGACUCGUGGCGGUGGCCAGCCUGGGCACACACUGAUGCUCCUGUGGAGAGUCCUUGUGGCCACAAGGUUGGGAGAAGUGACUUGUUCUUGAGGGGCGAAGCAGCACGAGGAAUUCGGCUCCUGGGCUGCAGCCAGUUCCCAUCUCUGCACAAUUUCGUGGAAGUCCCCUGGUCCUGCUGCCAAAAAUGUAAAGUGGCUUGUUUCUGUUCCCCAACCUGCCUUAGAGGGCAGCUCUCUUAAAGGGCUGCCAUCCGACUUUCCCAUGGGAGUUUAUGCUAUUUAUUUCUUUACGUUUAAAAAAAAUGGGGGCAUGAGCUGAGACCCCCACAACUUGAAUGUUAUAGAAUAGGGGAAGGGGCAAUCUUGGGUGUCUCUCUUCCCUCCCGCACUGACUGAAGACCACAGGGCAGCAUGGUCUGGGGCUUGUUUUUUUAUUUUUGUCCAUAUAUCCUAGCAACAUACGGCUGGUAAGACCUUUUAUAAAAUGUGGAGGCCAAAAAAUGUCCAUGCAUGCCAGGGGAACAGGCAUAAGAUAAGAAAAGCAGGGCAAAGGGAUUCCGUGGAUUUUCACUGGAAGCAAAAGGCAGCCAGCUAGGGUGGGAUACUUGUCAGACUGCAUGGAAAGCAUCUGGGAAGCCGAGGCUGCUCAACAGUGGGAACCUGAAAGCUGUUUUCCCGUCUAGAAGAGGAGAGAGCCACACCAGGAUUUGGACAUCUUUUACUAUUUCGCCCUCUCACAGAAGCUCUUCUGAGAGCCCAGAUGAUGUUUCCCAGUUUGGAUGAACAGGUUAUUAGGAUUAUUUUCUCCACUUGACAGAGCUUUCCUUACAGAUCCCAGCAGCCCACCUGGCACUGCCCUGUCUCGGUGGCUAGACGGCUGGUCCAUCCUACUGGGAUGGGCAGUGCCAUGCUCAUCUUUGCCAAGGGCUUUUUUCUUUGUGGUUAUUUUCCCCUUGGGGUAAAGAACUGUGGGUGCCAUCUGUCUGUGCCUGGGGAAGGUGCUUCUGUAGUAGGUCUGCUGUGAAUUGUUUAGUUGAUAAAAUCUGGGGGUUCUGCAUGGCAAAUCCUCUGAGUUCUUGGCUGUUCAGGAGACUGUUGGAAGUGAUUAGGAAAAGCAGAAAUAAACACACUAUGAACAUCACAGCUGGGCUUUCCCUAACAAAUCCCAGGUUCGAUGCUUUUAAAAAUCUAUUUCUAUAAUUAUAAACUAAGGCAUACACAUAAUAGAAAACAGAAAAUAUAAAGAAGGAGAUUUUAAAAACACCCAUUAUACCACCAUAAAGAGAUAACAGUUGUUAUUAACAUCGUAUUGAAUUUUCUUCUUUUGGCUUCAAAAUUGUAUGUGUGCGUAUAACAAGACAGAACACUCUCUAUUAGUUUUGUAGCUUUUUUCCAUCCUGGCCAUAUCAUGAACAUUUCUCCAUGUCAUUAAAUUGUUUAGGGAAAAAAAUCUUAUUUGAAAUGUCUUCUAACCCUUUUUAUAUUAAUUUUUUGAGACAGCAUCUUGCUUUGUCACCCAGGCUGUAAUGCAGUGACACAAUCUCAGCUCACUGCAACCUCCAACUCCUGGGUUCAAGCGAUUCUCCUGCCUCAGCCUCCCAAGUAGCUGGGAUUAUAGGUGCACGCCACCACGCCCGACUAAGUUUUGUAUUUUUAGUAGAAAUGAGGUUUCACCACGUUGUCCAGGCUGGUCUCAAACUCCUGACCUCAGGUGAUCCACCUGCCUUGGCCUCCCAAAGUGCUGAGAUUACAGGUGUGAGCCACUGCCCCCGGGCCCCCUUUUUAUUAUGGAAAAAUUUCAAACACUGUACGAAAGUAGAAUGAUGUGAGCCCCACAUACCAGUCACCUGGUUUCUGCAAUUACUAAAUCACAAUUCUUCUUGUUUCAUAUGUAAACAUCUUGUUUCCCACCUAUUAGCCACCUGGGUAAUUUGGAAGCAAAUUAUAGACAUGUUUAUUGUUUUGGCAAAUAUUUAGUAUAAAUAUUUAAAAGUCAAAGGCAUUUUAAAAAAUCACCAAAAUACCAUUUAUUACACGUAAACAAAUUAAAAAUUAACAAAUAUUUAAUUUCCAAUAGCAAUCCAGUUGAUGUGCAAGUUCCCCAACUGUUUCAUGAUUCUUUGGUGGUUUGAAUCAGGAUCCAGUCAAGGUUCCCAUAUUGUGAUUGGUUCUUGAGUCUGCGAAGUCUGAUUUAGCCCACAGGUUUUGCCUCCUUCCCUUUAAUUUUUUCUUACAAUUUAUUUGUUGAGAAAACUCAGUCCCUUGUCCUGGAGUUUCCCACCACCUGGAUUUUGAUGAUUGUCUUCCUGUGGUGUCAUUUAAUAGAUUCCUCUGCCCCUGUAUUUCCUGUAAACUGGUGGGUAGAUCUGCAGGCUGCAUGAGCUUCAGGUUUGGUUUUGGGGGUAAGAAUAUUAAGUGGUGGGGUGCACGCCCCACAGGAGGCACAGAAUGAAGGUGUUCCUUUUUGUGACGUUCACUGCUGUUGAUCAUGCUUGCCCAGAUCCAUUCUAUAAGGAUUUGUAAAAUAAUGGUAUUUUGAUCCUUUUACUCUUCUUCGUUGUUUUGUUUAUUUUUUGUUUGUUUGUUUGUUUGUUUUGUUUCUUGUGUUUUUUUUUUUGGAGACAGAGUCUUGCUGUGUUGCCCAGGCUGGAGUGCAGUGAUGCAAUCUCAGCUCACUGCAACCUCCACCUCCUGGGUUCAAGUGAUUCUCAUGACUCAGCCUCCUGAGUAGCUGGAAUUAUAGGCGUGCACCACCAUGCCCAGCUGAUUUUUAUAGUUUUAGUCAAGACGGAGUUUCACUAUGUUGGCCAGGCCAGUCUCGAACUCCUGACCUCAAGUGAUCCACCCGGCCUCCCAAAGUACUGGGAUUACAGGCAUGAGCCACCGUGCCCGGCUCUGUUACUCUUCUUUCUUUAUUAUCUGGAAUACUUCUACAAAGAGAACUGCACCCCCGCCCCCUGCAUCCACUGUUCAGCUACCCUGUGGUACAGUUCACUUAGGAACAGCAGGAUGGAUGUUUUUAUUUUUUCUCCCUUAUUUACCAAUUUUCCAAAUAAUGAGUUUGUUCCCAGCAUCCUCCAGAAGUGAGGUCAAUCGCAGUUAUUUCUACUGACACCCAAGGGUUCUCAUCUUUGGACGGUGGGAGCUUCAGGGUGGCAUCACAGACACCGGUGUAGCGGCUCGGAGGCUGUGGACACCCAGCUUACUACUGUUCUGUAGCUCCCUCGUUCUCAGCGUGCGAUGUCCUCUCCUGGCCCCCGCUGGCUGCUCCAGCUCCUACUCCUGGGUCAUCACUCAGCCUGCAGGAAGCAAGAAAGGAAAGGGCGGGGUGGCACGCACCUUCUCUCAAGAGUGAGCCCGAGAAGGAAGCUGCUCCCAUCUGUUCCGCCAACUGCAAGGGAAUGUGGGACCAGGAAGGCUUAUGCCAUCCUAACGUUUUUCUUACCAUAGAAGAAGGGGAAAACGAUCCUUGCGGACAACCAGCAGUUAGAGCCCUGCUUAGCACCUGGAAACGACACUUCUCACCUACACCAGGUGGCCACAUACCUAGGGCUGCUUGCUGGAUGGGAGGGCUCAGGGUCUGGCAUUAUGUUUUAUUUCACCAUAGGGCCGUGAGGGUAUGUAAUUCCCACAUCUAAAUCAGCCUUGUUCCUGCUCCGGGGCUGGCUUUGGAAUGCUGCCAUUUCAUAGUAAACAGGUCCUACAGUGACAAGGUGUCACCUGGAAUCUGGUAUCUGAACUUGCUGAGGUGUGGCAGACACUGUUAAUGGAGGUCAGGUGUUGUUCUUCUGCGCCGGGUAUACGGUCAGCAGAUGGCUACUAGACCAACGUGGGUGAAAGGGGCAUUUGGACACAACGCGUGAAGUCCAGUUCCUGUCACUUACUAACCGGCGCUGGAUGCCACUCAGUGCCCAUGCCUUGUCUCUAGAGCUCUGCAAAAGGGUGCUUUGUGUAUAAUUUUCUCAGAAACAUACGAGACCAGACAACAAAAGCUCUGCUGUGUCUCGGGCCACUUCUCUAAUUAGGAAAAAUAGUAAAAAGGUGGGGUGGGGUGGGGGAGGUGCGGCAUCGUUGGAGGUUGAAAGCUGUGUUUAGUCCGGGACAGUUCUACCUUUAAUUAUCCUGUCUGAGGUGACUUUAAUGAGCAUUAUUUUUAAUGCCUUCAUUUAGGGGGGUGGGGGGAAUGCUUUUUGCAUCCAACCAUAGAAAACAGCUUUAUUCAUGAGGCUUGAAGGACAGCGUCGUUGCUGUCGGGUUUGUAGUGGUUGUGAGCGAGAAACCUCUCGGUUUGUAGCGGCUCUGAGCCAGAAACCUCUUAUCAGAGUCAUGACCAGAAGGCGAAUGGCCAGUUACUAUCAGGGAACCACAGGGUUCAGGCUGGCUGGGGUGCCUGCUUCCCAUGACCAUUUCCCAGCGGCAGACGUGGGGGAAGACAGGGCCAGACACAGGGCAGGCAGGGUUGGCCUCCCAGGGGCCUCCCAGUUCCUCUGAUAGCAUCUCAGUCCACUUGGGCUGCCAUAACAAAGAUAACUUAGACUGGGUAAUUUAUACACAAUGGAAAUAUAUUUCUCAUAAUUCUGGCCUGUAAUCCCAGCUACUUGGGAAGCUGAGGUGAGAGGAUUGCUUGAGCUUAAGAGUUGGAGGCUGCAGUGAACUCUGAUCGUAACACUGCACUCCAGCCUGGGUGACAGAGGGAGACCCCAUCUCUAAUCCAUUAUUUUAUUUUAUAUAUAUUUUUAAAUUAUUUUAAAAAGAAAAAAGAAAUGAACCUAAGUGACAAAAAAGCAUGGUUUAUUUAAAAAAAAAAAAAACUUUAUUUCUUACAGUUCUGAAGGCUGGGAAGUCCAAGAUCAAGGUGCAAGCAGAUUCAGUGUUUCUGAGGGCUGAUCCUCGUGGGGUGAGGUUUAUGAGGGUGCUGCUAGGGUUUGAACGUGUUCUCCAGACUUCAUGUGUGGGAAACUUGAUCUCCAGUGCAGCAGUAUACGGAAGUGGAGCCUAAUGGGACGUAUUUGGGUCUUGGGGGCACUGCCCUCAUGAAUGGAUUAAUGCCAUUAUUGCUGGAGUGGGUUCAUAAUAAAAGGAUGAGUUUGGUCCCUUCUUGCUCUCUCUCUCACCUUGUAAUGCCUUCGACCAGCUUAUGAUGCUGCAGGAAGGCCCUUGCCAGAUGCUAGGUCCUCGAUCUUGGAAUUCCAAGCCUCCAGAACUAUGAGCCAAAUAAAUUUCUGUUCCUUACAAAUGACCCAGUCUCGGGUAUUCUGUUAUGGCAGAACAAAACGGACUGCGACUAGCACUAACAGAACAAAACGGACUGCGACUAGCACUAACAGAACAAAACGGACUGCGACUAGCACUAACAGAACAAAACGGACUGCGACUAGCACUAACAGAACAAAACGGACUGCGACUAGCACUAACAGAACAAAACGGACUGCGACUAGCACUAACAGAACAAAACGGACUGCGACUAGCACUAACAGAACAAAACGGACUGCGACUAGCACUAACAGAACAAAACGGACUGCGACUAGCACUAACAGAACAAAACGGACUGCGACUAGCACUAACAGAACAAAACGGACUGCGACUAGCACUAACAGAACAAAACGGACUGUGACUAGCACUAAUCCCGUUCACGAGGGGAGAGCCCUCAUGACCUAAUCUAAGCACCCCCACCUCUCAAUACUGUCGCAUUGGGGGUAACAAUAUGAAUUUUGGGGGAGCACCAACACUCAGACCCUCGAGUGUGGGUUCCUCCUGACAUGCCAUGAAAUCUCUGUUCAUGCUCCAAGUUAAGGCAUCAUUAUCAGCUCAUUGCCCCAACCAGAAACGGGAGUCAGCCCCUUUAAACCUGCCAACCCCCACAUUCCAAAGGUCCCUGCCAGCCUAGGCAGUACUCUACCAGCCUUACUUCACACCCUUCAUAUUCUCCUCCUUCCAACAGAUUCUCCAUCUUGCGGUCUAAUUUACUUUUUCUUCUUUUUCUCUUCCAGAUAUGGUCACAUGUAGCUUAACAACUGGGAUGCAUUCUGAGUAAUGCAUCAGUAGGCAAUUUUGUCAUUGUGUGGACAUCAGCGAGUGUACUCACAAGCCUAGAUGUUAGAACCUACUACACACCUAGGCUGUGUGGUACAGCCUGUUGCCCCAGGCUACAAACCUUAACAGUAUGUUACUGUACUGAACACUGCAGGCAGUUGUAACACAAUGGUUAGUAUGUGUAUAUCUAAACACACCUAAACAUAGAAAAAGUGCAGUAAAAAUAUGGUAUUAUAAUCUUAAGGGACCACUGCCGUAUAUGCGUCAUUGACCCAAAUGUUAUGUGGCACAUGACUGUAUAAUGUUUCUAAAGAAUAAAGGUGGUUGGGCACUUUGGAAGGCCGAGGUGGGCAUAUCACUUGAGGUCAGGAGUUCAAGACCAGCCUGGCCAAUAUGGUGAAACCCCAUCUCUACUAAAAAUACAAAAAUUAGCCUGGUGUGGUGGUGCACACCUGUAAUCCCAGCUACUCGGGAGGCUGAGGCAGGAGAGUCGCUUGAACCUGGGAGAUGGAGGUUGCAGUGAGCUGAGAUUGUACCUCUGCACUCCAGCCUGGGUGACAGAGCAAGACUCCAUCUCAGAAAAAAAAAAAUAAUAAUAAAAAAAGAAUAAAGGUAAUAUAGCUGCAUUUGGAAAACAGAAAUAAGGAAGAUAUAAUCACGUGUAAUUCUAUGUCCUAACAGCCAUCAUUACUUUUUAUGUUUCCUUUUGGUGUUUCUUAACUAUGAGCAUGAUUUAUUCUCAUAAUUAGAGUUUAUAAACAAUCAUUUUCUCUUGGUUUUCUCUCAACCUGUUAAGGCUUUUCCUAAAAAUUCUCUUGAGUCAUUCAGUAGGUGUGUACUAUUUAACCACCCUUCUGUUAUACCAUGGUUAGCUUCUAAUUUUUCACCUUUACAAGCAGUAUUGCAGUGAACAUUUUCAUGUGCAUAACUGUUUCAGUAUUUUGAACUGUAUUUCUUUGGGAUAGAUUCACAAGGUCAUAAAACAUGAAGUUUUGUUGCAAAAUUGGUGAUCAGAUGUUUAGGGCAUUUCAUAGUGCUGUCAGCAAUGUUUAAAAAUGUCAGACUUCAUAGUAUCUAUGACAGCGGUGGCUAUCAUUUUUCUGAUUUUUUUUCUCCUGUUUUGAAAAUGUAUAUAGAAAAAAAAUUUUUUCUCCUAAUGAAAGAAGUAAUACAAGCUUGUUGUAUAAAAUUUAGAGAAGCCAAAAGAAAAUUAAAAUCAACUAUAUAAUCUUGCUUUUUCUGUGUGAUAAACACUGGUAAUAUUAUGGGCUGUAUCCUAUCUGAAUUUUUAAAAAUAUGUAUAUAUAAUUUCUUUUCCUUUUAUUCUUUCUUUCCUUUUUCUGUUUAUUUCUUUUGUUAAAUUGAAUAACAUUAUUUUUCAUGUAGUUUUAUGCUUGUGUGAACAUCUUUUUAGGAUAUUAAAUAUUUUUCACAAAAUUCCCCAUUUGUACAAAUUUAGAUUAUUUUCAGUUUUUGCUAUUUUAAUUAAUAUUGUAUGACCAUGUUUAUAGCUACAUCUUUGCACAUUUUAAAGCUCUUCUAUUUAAGAACGCCCCUGUACUGGGUGUUAUAAUGUGUUUAAAAAUAUAUAUAUAUGGAAAUUUUUUGAUUAAAAAAAUUUUCUUGUUUAAUUUGAAUUAACGUAAUUAAAGAGGUGGCAGACUUUUUAUAUGCUACUAGACAGUCAUAGUUAUUUUGCUAAUUAUUUGUGUAACUUUUUUCUCUUUUACAUCAGACAUUUCAGCCCCUUCCAGGUGAUAAGGAAAAGAUUUUUACACAUGGAAGAUAUUAAUCUUUUGUCUUGAAUAUAUAUUGCAAAAUGGUUUUCAGUUUCUCAGCUGCCUUUCAAUUUCACUUAAUCUUUUUUUUUAUUUUUUGAUUCUAAACAUGUUUCUUCAUGGCAUCUGUCUUUGGUGUCAUAUCCUGGAAAGAUUCUUUGCCCUCCUAAUAGUAGAAAUAUUUUCUUCUAGUGCUUCUAAGGUUUAAUUUUCUGUAGUUAAAUAUUUAAACUCUCUGUACUUCAUCUUUUCGAUGUAGUUUCUAAUCUACUUUUCCUCUCCAAAUAGGUAGCAAGUCGUUCAAAGUGGUGAUGUCAUAGAAAUGACUGGUUGGCUACUUUAGAUGUCAACUCUUUUCAGUUUCAUAUAUAAAUUUAGUACGAUUUCCAUCAGAAUCGUAAUGGGACGCUUUGGGAAUUUGACUACAUAAUUAUAAAUUUCAUCUAGGAGAAUAAACAUGUACAAAUGGCCAAGAAAAUUUCAGAAGGGAAAAAUUCAAAGGGGAGAGACACUUAGGGCAUCUGAUAUUAAAAUAUCUUAUAAAGCUAUAGUAAUGAUAGUGAAAACAGAUGUUACCAGUAUAGGAACAAACAAAUCAGUGAAACAAAGAAAUGUCUGAAACAGACCCCAGUAUAAAAAAUAAUUUAGUACAAUGUAUCAUUAUAGUGACAUAUUUCAAAUCACCGGGAAAAGGAAAGAUUCUUAAAUGAAUGAUUUUGACUAAUUAAUGUCGUAAGUUAUAUUAACAAAUUUUAUAAUAUAGAGCCAUCCUUGCAAUCCUAGAAUAAAUACUACUUGGAUCACAUGUAUUAUUCUUCUAGUCUGUGUUUAAAUCAAAUUUGCUAAUGUUUUGUUUAGGAUAUUAGGUACUAGCACUAGCCAGGCAAUGUUUUUUUUCUCAGAAAUAAAUAGCAAGUAACAUUUAUUGAACACACGUGAUGUACCAGAGACUUUACUAAGUGCUGUGUAUACAUUGUGUAGCUUAAUCCUCACAUGAGGUAAGCUACUGUAUUAUAUUUAUAUUUCCCCAUUUCACCUACGGGGAAAACUAAAGCAGAAAGGGCUUAAAGAACUUGUAGUGUGGGUUUUUUUAUUUGUUUGUUUUGUUUUGUUUUCACAAAAAGUCUCACUCUGUCGCCCAGGUUGGAGUGCAGUGGCGCCAUCUCAGCUCACUGCAACCUCUACCUCUCAGGUUCAAGCAAUUCUCCUGCCUCAGCCUCCUGAGUAGCUGGGAUUACAGAUGUACACCACCACACCUGGCUAAUUUUUUGCAUUUUUAGUAGAGACGGCUUUUCACCAUCUUGGCCAGGCUGGUUUCGAACUCCUGAUCUCAGAUGAUCUGCCUGCCUUGGCCUCCCAAAGUGCUGGGAUUACAGCUGUAAGCCACCACACCCAGUCUUGUCCUGUGUUUUGCCACUAAAGUGCACUGUCUCACCAUCUCAUGUCAUUUGCCUCUCAUUUUGAAAAUAAGAGACACAGAGGAAAACUCUAAUACAAAACUACACAUAUCCAAAGUAGAAGUUUUAGGAGGAGAGAACAGAGAAAAACAAAUAUGAAAGAAAUAAUCAACAGAGUUCCCUGAGUCUUCAGAUCAAAAGGCCUCACUGAAUAUUUGGCAAGAUUAAUAAAACAGAACUACCUAGAUAUUUGGGGGGGAUGGGAUUUGUUGACAUUUUCUUUAUAUCUUGUUUGUUUACUUUUUUAUUUUUUAUUGAGACAGAAUCUUGCUCUGUAACCCCGGCCGUGGUGCAAUCACAGCUUACUGCAGCCUUGACCUCCUGGGCUCAAGGGAUCCUCCCACCACAACCUCCCAAGUAGCUGGGACUACAGACAGGAAUGUGCCACCACACCUGGCUAAUUUUUUUAUUUUUUGUAGAGGCAGGGUUUCACCAUGUUGCCUGGGUUGGUCUCAAUCUCCCAGGCUCAAGCGAUCCACCUGCCUCAGCCUCCCAAAGUGUUAGGAUUACAGGCGUGAGCCUCUGUGCCCAGCCCAUUUUCUUUAUAUCUUAACAUAAUAUAUUUUUAUAAGUGGCCAUAUGUUAGAUGACAGCAUAGUUCAAAAUCAGAAAUUACAUAGGUCCCAUUAUUUAACCAUUAGGGUAUACAAUCAGGAAUAACUAAUAAAAAAAAAAUGCUUAGAAAUUCAAAAAUAAGGCCGGGCUCGGUGGCUGACGCCUGUAAUCCCAGCAAUUUGGGAGGCUGAGGCAGGCGGAUCACUUGAGGUCAGGAGUUUGAAACCAGUCUGGCCAACAUGGUGAAACCCCGUCUGUACGAAAAAAAAAAAUAGCUGGGCAUGGUGGCGAGCGCCUGUAAUCCCAGCUACUUGGGAGGCUGAGGCACAAGAAUCACUUGAACCUGGGAGGCAGAGAUUGCAGUGAGCCGAGAUCGUGCCUCUGCACUCCAGCCUGGGCAACAGAGCAAGACUCCAUCUCAAAAAAGAAACAAAAAACAACAAAAAAUUUACAGAACUGGACAUCCCCAGAAGAAGAAGAUUUUCGUUUUUCGUAACUUUUGAAAACUCUGGCCAGAAUCUGAACAAAGAGGAGCUGAGUGGCUGCAAGACAUUUGGCCUUUGUGUGUCUGGUCUUGAAUCACCUUCCAGAGUAGAAGUCGUUCGGAUCCGGUUAGGAAGAGCGCUCGAGGCUCUGAAGUUGCAGCUCACUGAGAAAGUAGGGUUCGUUUCCUGCCUUGAACCAAAGUGGCACAUGGUAAGUGUCUUCACAUGGGUUCUGCCGCAGUGACUUUAAUGGGUUUCAGGGAAACGCUGUAGGUGGGUGGGGUGAGGACGUGCAGGUGCUUCCUCCCACUGAGGACUGCAGGCCACAGAGCUCAAAUGAAGGCAGUGGGACAGCGAGACCCCACUGGGACCACACAGAUGCACAAGCUGCUUCAAACCUUUCAGGGCCCUUAAAUUCCCAGCAACUAAAAGGAAACAGGCCGCCUGGGGUGCUGGAAACCGCCGGCCUGGAGUCAGCCGAAGGUUCGGUGAGACCGUGGGAGGCCACCCUUUGGUGGCUCAUUCUCCCCUGCUUGUGAAAUAGGGAUAUGGGAGGGGGGCAGAACAGACCACGGGUUCCCAAGCUGGGCUCUGGAGAGUUCUAAGGGUGGCAGAGGCCCUUCCCCAGCAGGGGUGGCGAGGGGGAGUACAGCAGGUCAGGUCUUGGCGCCUGUGCUCCCUCCAGCCAGAGCUGUUCCACUCCGAUUCUUCUCUAGCCUGGCCUCUCCGAGAUGCCUUCUGUUUAAAGAGCAGCUUCUGCUGCUUUAAAGUAAGAUUUUAAUCAUCAGGGGACUGAGCGAUUUGUGAGGCCCCUUUGGCGCCCUGGGUUUCCCUGAGUCAGCAGGAAGCACGCUGGUGCUCCCCGAAUGGCAGACUGGGACCCCAGCUGUCAGGGAGGGAGACGCUCGGGCCUAUCAUGUUAGAUUCAUAAAGCUUGCACUCUGGGAAAUUGCUUUUGACAUGCUCAGGGGUAAAACGUUUCUCAAAAGAAGCUCCACAUAAUUUAAAUGAUGACAUUUUAAAUCAUGUGGAGAUGGCGGUGAUCUUUAAAAAAUGUUCCCAUCUCAAUUUGCAAACCUGUUUGGACAAACCAGUCAAAGGCAAUUUUCCUCAUGGAAUUACCAGCAAACAGAACCUUUCAUAAGACUUCUGUGCCUCAGACAGGCCUCUCCCUCUUUCCUGACCACCCACCCAUCCCAGCUUUCCUAAGACAAAGAGAGAGAGAUGGAGUUCAGACUGUUUUUUUUUUAAUCAUCUGGGGACCUUGGCCAAGGGGAAGAGGAGAAAGCAGGGGCCAGGCUCGGGGUCUGACCAGGCUGCAGGACUCGGCGUGCGUGGUUUCUCAGUUGGACGUCCCAGAGGGCCAGGCCCGUGGGUGGGGACUCAGGUUGAAAAUCAAAGCCUUGGCCAAACAGAUGAGGAUUUGGGGCAGGGAAACUGAGGCAUGAGCCACUGGACCCUCUGCCUGGUCAUGCUUAGGCUAUGAAGUACACGGUUUCUUCCACAAAACCCCAGUCCUCCUGUUAUUGAUGACUUGGGGCCCACAGGUUUCCUUCAUUGCUGCCAUCAGGUUGGGGUUGGUGGGAUUCUGAGAUCUGGGCAAAUGGCACAGAAUGUUUAGCCCAAAGACAAGCAGAUGAGGUUUGUGGUAGAGCCAAAUGCUGAUUCUGCCCACCCCGCGUCAUCACCCCGCGUCGUCACCCCGUGUCGUCUGUUAGGGGUUCCUUGACUAUUUUGUUUGUUUCAAAAGCAUGUUUGUGUUUGUCUUUCUCCAAACAUCAGGGUGAAAUGGGAUCUUAAGAACCAUUAAGGCAGCCCUUUGAAACUCUAGCCCCGCAUCCCCCCAUCUCUGUCUUUAUAAUUUGGGGUCAGCUUCAUCAGCAAGCCCCUGUGCGCCUGUACCGAGAGGCCUUGAAUUUGGUUUCCGGCUCUGCAGUUGCCCUCUAAAAUUCUCAAUAGUGUGUGAACAGGGUCCCACACUUUGAUUUUGCAAAUUACGCAGCCUGUCCCAUGUGGAGUUUUAGAUUUGAAUUAUUAUUUUAUUAGUAUUUUUAGGCUAUAUAUCUUCACUCUAAAAAAUGCACGUGUAUGUAUUAGUUUUAUAAGUGAGAUUUACAGCAGUCAUUGAACUUCUUGCAGAGCUUUGCUGCCAGUCUUAACUGUAGGGUGUGGUCUGUCAGCCAACAAACAGCUUUUUAAAGAAUGUUUGCAUGUUGUGUGAGAGGGAAAAAAAUACGACACAAAGGGCCUUUAAUCAACAUGCUUGCAAAGCCACUCUCACAGAGUAGACGUCUUAUUGGGUAAUUUCUGGGUCCCAAGCCCCAUGCUGACCACAAGGAUACAGAGAGAAACAGAGCACAGCCCCUGCCCUCAAGGAGUGCCUUGUCUAGUUGAAAUCUGUUUCGUAACUUUCUAAACCUCAAGCCACUCUAAGAAAUAUGCAACCCAGAAUUCAGUACACAUAGAGAUAAUACACACAUAGAAAGAUGAAACAGUAGGCCGGGCAUGGUGGCUCAUGCAUGUAAUCCCUACUUUUUGGGAGGCCAAGUAGGGUGGAUCACCUGAGGUCAGGAGUCCGAGACCGGCCUGGCCAACAUCAUGAAGCCCCAUCUCUACUAAAAAUAUAAAAAAUUAGCUGGGCAUGGUGGCGGGCACCUGUAAUCUUAGCUGCUCAGGAAGCUGAGGCAAGAGAAUCGCUUGAACCUGGGAGGCAGAGGUUACAGUGAGCCGAGAUCUCACCACUGCACUCCAGUCUGGGCAACAAGAGUGAAACUCCAUCUCAGAAAAAAAAAAAAAAGAAAGAUGAAAACAGUCAUCUCAUGAAAUAAGGUACUUACUGUAUACACCGCAUUCUCUUUUCUAUUGUAUUUCAUUUUUUAAAAUACUGGUUAGAGCACAGUUGAUUUCACAACCCAUUAGUGUGAGUUUUUAAAGCACUGCUCUAAUGAGAGAGAUUGAUUUUUGCUAAGCAUUAUCCUAGCGGUGGUGCAGACUUCCAGAGGAAGCGGCAUUUGCCCAGAGUGUUGAAGGAUGAGAUGGAGCUUGCGGUGGAGAAGCUGGCGGUGGUUAUGAGGUGAAUUCCAGAGGGGGUCAUGAGCCUGGAGAGAGUUCCACGGGGCUUGGGUCCUGGGGAGUUGGUCCCGGAAAGGCAAAUCUGCAGAUGGUGGAGCACAUUGGGUGUCCAGCAAGAUGCUGUACUCUCUCCUGUGUGAGCCAUAGGAAGUGGUUUGUUUUUUUAACAGCUUUAUUUGAAAUAUACCAUAAAAUUCACCUAUUGUAAGUGGACAGGGCCAUGAUUUUUAGUAAAUGUAUGGAGUUGUCCAACCACCAUCCAGUUUUAGAACAUCUCCAUCACCCCAAAAAGCGCCCUGGUGCCCAUGUCCGUCAAUCCCCGUUCCUUCCCCCAGCCCCAGGCAACCACUGAUCUGUUUUCUGUCUCUGCAGAUUUGUCCUUUCUAGAAACCGUGUACACAUGGACUCCUACAAUCCAGUCCUUUGUGUCUGGCUUCUGUCACUCAGCGUCGCAUUUCUGGGGCUCAUCCAUGUUGUAGCAUGUAGUGGUAUUCCAUUGAUUGGCUACACUGUAGUUUCUCCAUUUGCCAGAUGAUGGAUGCUUGGAUUGUUUCCAGUUUGGGGCUAUUUUGAAGAACGCUUCUAUGAGCAUUUGCAUCUGAGUUGUAUGGACGUAUGUUUUCAUUUCUCCCGGGGAGAUCCUAGGAGCGGAGUUGCUGCACUGCAUGGUGAACGUAUGUUUAACUCUUUAAGAAACUGCCUCGCUGACUUCUGAAGCAGCUGCACCGUGGCGUGUUCCCACCAGCAGCUUAUCUCGUGUCUUCACAUCUGCUGGAGGAUUUGAGCAGAGGAGAGAUGUGAUGAGACUUGCUCUUCAGAAGAUUCCUCCAGCUGCCGGGUGAGGGUCACUGAGAGGGAAAGGAAGAGGCAGGAGGGAGAAGUCUGGGUCCUAGGCUAAAGCUCCGGCUCUGGGUGGACCAGAGACAAGGAGCUGGAGUCCAGGGAUGUGUUCAACAGGGUCUGGCAUGGAAGGAGCAGGAGCCACAGAGACUUUGGUAACUGGCUCAGCCUCAAUCAGCAAGUGGCUGAGAGAGAAAAGAUGGAGGUGACUUGGGAGCAAGACUUCCAUCUGGACUGCGAUGAUGGUGCCGGGGCCUCUGGCUCUUGCCUGUCCAUGCAUCAUGCAUGGCCAGAUCAGCAGUCACAUCCCUUCAGAAGGUUCCCACAUCCUGUAAGGGGAGUGGCUCCCAGUCCUGGCUGCCCUUUUGAAUCACCUGGAAAACUUUAAAAUCUGCUGGCUGGGUCCUGAUGUAACUGAUCUGCGCACAGCCUGGGCAUGGAGAGGUUCAAGCUCCCAGGUGAUUUGAAUGCACACUGGGCUGAGUCAAGCUCUCAGGCGCAGGUGCACACUGGGAGCUCCAGGGGAGUUUUACAAACUACUAAAGUGCUGAGUCCCACCCAGAGCUUUUGGUGCAGUUGGGACAGGGGGAAGCCUGUGCACUAGGAGUUGUAACCUUUCCCCGGGUGAUUAUAACGCGCAGCCACGUUUGGGGACUGCUGCUUGAAGGCAACUUGUUUGGACCCAAGAGUCAGUUCUGAGCAGAUGCUUCUAAUGCUAGCAUUUCCUAAAAGAGUGUUCUUGAUUCUCUCGCUCUUUAUAAGUAGACCCAGAAAUCUUUUUUUUUUCCUUCUCAAUGUACAGAUUAUUUUUCUGAAGCAUUUUAUAGUACAUGUUGCUAAAAAAUAAAACCAGAUUCCACUGCA